This 29-nucleotide non-coding RNA is filed under the name Bombyx mori (domestic silkworm). Lineage: Eukaryota; Metazoa; Arthropoda; Insecta; Lepidoptera; Bombycidae. The record is from RNAcentral.
UACAAAUCGUGUAUGGGUCCUAACAAUGC